GAUCGCAAGAAACUGAGAUAUUCUUAAGCAUUUAUAGGUAGAAUUCUGUGAUUUCUUAUAUCAAUCAAAUGGAUCAUCUCUGAAUCCAAUGGUCCAGAUUUGUUCUUUCAAUGAUAAAUUCUCGAACAAUAUCGAUACGAAGCAACCAUCGGACAAACAAGUGUAAGUCGAGUCGACAAUGUUGAAUAUAUACUAAGCCUUAAGAGAACAAGAGGGUCUUACAAAACUACGGAGGUUAAAGGCAUUAUUACCAAAACCCUUCUUCCCAAAAUUUCUAAAUAGCAAUAACUCUGAAUUAAGAGGGGAGAUUAUGCAGGCAUUAUGAUCAUGGAAACCAAUCCAAGUACCCAACUGCUCUCUAUCCUC
RNAcentral lists this long non-coding RNA (366 nucleotides) under Linum usitatissimum (flax). Its description in RNAcentral is "long non-coding RNA (LUSI_LNC001778)". Lineage: Eukaryota; Viridiplantae; Streptophyta; Magnoliopsida; Malpighiales; Linaceae. The record is from RNAcentral.